UGCGUAGGCGGAACUUUAAGUCAGUGGUGAAAUCCUGCGGCUCAACCGUAGAACUGCCAUUGAUACUGAUGUUCUUGAAUACAGUUGAGGUAGGCGGAAUGUGUAAUGUAGCGGUGAAAUGCUUAGAUAUUACACAGAACACCGAUUGCGAAGGCAGCUUGCUAAACUGUGAUUGACGCUGAUGCACGAAAGCGUGGUGAGCGAACAGGAUUAGAUACCCUGGUAGUCC
RNAcentral lists this ribosomal RNA (229 nucleotides) under uncultured bacterium. RNAcentral describes it as "partial 16S ribosomal RNA". It matches the Rfam family "Bacterial small subunit ribosomal RNA", at positions 568 to 796 of the family's 1533-position model. The record is from RNAcentral.